Molecule: transfer RNA, 72 nt
Organism: Camelus ferus (Wild Bactrian camel)
Lineage: Eukaryota; Metazoa; Chordata; Mammalia; Artiodactyla; Camelidae
Rfam family: tRNA
About the family: Transfer RNA (tRNA) molecules are approximately 80 nucleotides in length.
Source: Rfam
GAGGGUAUAGCUCAGUGGUAGAGUGCUUGCCUAGUAUAUGCGAGGUCCUGGGUUCAAUUCCCAGUACUUCCA